RNAcentral lists this signal recognition particle RNA (271 nucleotides) under Candidatus Woesearchaeota archaeon CG10_big_fil_rev_8_21_14_0_10_45_16. Its description in RNAcentral is "signal recognition particle sRNA". It matches the Rfam family "Archaeal signal recognition particle RNA". The record is from RNAcentral. Lineage: Archaea; Nanobdellati; Candidatus Woesearchaeota.
GGGAGAGCUAGGCUGGCGCGCUAGUCCUGCGCUGUAACCGUGAACGGACUUUACACGGAGCCGAAGCCCAAGGAAGGGUUGCCUUUGUUUCAAUGGUCCUUCUUGUCUUUGCUGACAGCCUGUCCUUUGGGACCGCUGCCAUGCGAACCGUGUCAGACCCUGACGGGAGCAGCACUAAGCAUGGUCAGUUGGUGUUCAGAGGGUUGCAGGUUCGAGAAGCUAGAAGGGUUCAACUGUUGGGGCUUAGUCGAUUCGACUGCGGGCGUGCCCC